Long non-coding RNA from Pan troglodytes (chimpanzee), 737 nucleotides. RefSeq lists it as uncharacterized. The record is from RefSeq and is a predicted model, not a curated record. Lineage: Eukaryota; Metazoa; Chordata; Mammalia; Primates; Hominidae. The transcript is spliced from 6 exons.
GAGGAAGGCUGCCAGGAGUAGUACUGCAGGCAGCAGGGCUGGUUCCCAAGUCUUGAGCUGAGGGGUGAAGGGUGGGAGAGGUGGUCAUGAGGAUUAUGAACUGACACGUUCAAUCACUUACCACAGCGCCUGGCAGUUAGGGGUUCCUUGGUUGAAUCCACAGAUGUUUGGAUCCAGCCCCUGGAUAUGGAGGGCUGACUUUAAUCUUCCCCCAUCCUUAAGUAUCCUGUGAAGUUAUAAAUGAUGUGUGCCAUGUCUUACACCAGCAACUGUGCCCCCUUGGCCUGGGCACAUGUGGCAACUGUCCAUGCAUCAUGUUGUUUAGGAGUCUUUUUUCCAGAGCUGAUGAUAAGAAGACAGUUUCCUUUGCAGCUUCUUUCACCUGGCAUCUAUUUCACACAGGAGGGAGAGGAGGGAAGGAAAGUGUAAUUCACAGUGAUGUUAUCAGCCAGCACCAUGCCUGGGAGAUCACCAGUGCAGGAGAGGUAUCAAAUGCUCCAGGGGCAAGGUUCUGAGAAGAUGCCCUGCCACUGUAUGAGGCCACAACCUGCUGUGUAUAACCUCAUCUAAGCACAGAGAAGCACCAGGAAGACUGAGCGUGGGAAAUGAUAAAGCAAACUGUGGACUUGAAUGAAAGACAUACAGAAGAAGGUCCUCACCAGACGCCAGCCCCUUGAUCUUGGACUUCCCAGCCUCCAGAACCAUGAGCCAAAUAAACUUCUGUUGGUUACAAAUUA